UGAUCCGUUAUAGAGAUGUGCCUAUAAAAUUUUGAUUCGUGAGCUGGUACAACGGUCAUGCAAGCAUGAGAUGGAAGUUACAGAUUAUCCUAUCUUAUUCUCCGCUACCUGAUAUAAAUUAUAUCCAUAAUAAAGAAUAAUAACAGCUGAGUCCUGAAUUACUUGCAACAAAAUCUUAAAUACAGGAUCGACAUUCGACAGGCAGCCAAGCUCGUCCACCUGCAAAAUGCCGCACCUCACCGGUUGAUAGGAUCACGACCAUUCCAACUACCAAGUCCACCUUCCUUACACGUGCUUCGCAGUAAGACUAGUAGUACCAAACCCCCUCUUGGCUCGUUCCAUCUAACUGCUCUCUUCGUUCUCCCUCCUCCCCUUUACCCCAUCCCAGACCCUCCCGCACCGUAGCAAUCAUCAUGGCCGUCAGCCGUCUCGCCCCCUCUGCCUCCACCCUCUCCAAGCUUCUCCUCCACCCCGUCUCCGCCCCGCCAUUCUCCCGACCCUUCUCCGGGACCGCCGCCGGAGACGACCAGACCGUCCUGACCAUCGAGACGAGCGUCCCCUUUACCGGCCACAAGAUCGACCCACCCUCCCGCUCCGUCGAGGCCACCCCGAAGGAGCUCCUCUCCUUCUUCCAGGACAUGGCCGUAAUGCGCCGCAUGGAGAUCGCCGCCGACUCCCUCUACAAAUCCAAGCUCAUCCGUGGCUUCUGCCAUCUCUACGACGGCCAGGAGGCCGUCGCUGUCGGAAUGGAGGCCGCCAUCACCCAGCGCGACUCCAUUAUCACCGCCUACCGCGACCACUGCACCUUCCUCGGACGCGGGGGCAAUCUCGUCGAGGCCUUCUCCGAGCUCAUGGGCCGCCGCACUGGCUGCUCCAAGGGCAAGGGCGGGUCGAUGCACUUCUACAAGAAGGAGGCCGGAUUCUACGGCGGCCACGGCAUCGUCGGAGCCCAGGUCCCCCUCGGCUGCGGCCUGGCCUUUGCCCAGAAGUACUUUAAGGACGAGACCGUGACCUUUGCUCUGUAUGGUGAUGGGGCCGCCAACCAGGGGCAGCUCUUCGAGGCCCUCAAUAUCUCAGCGCUGUGGGAUUUGCCGGUUAUCUUGGUCUGCGAGAACAAUCACUAUGGUAUGGGGACUGCUGAAUGGAGGGCUGCGAAGAGCGCCGCAUACUACAAGCGUGGUGACUAUGUUCCUGGUCUGAAGGUUGAUGGAAUGGAUGUUCUUGCUGUGAAGCAAGCAUGCAAAUUUGCUAGGGAACAUGCGCUAAAGAAUGGACCCAUUAUUCUUGAAAUGGACACCUACAGGUACCAUGGGCAUUCUAUGUCUGACCCUGGGAGCACAUACCGUACUCGUGAUGAGAUCACUGGCAUAAGACAGGAGCGUGAUCCGAUUGAAAGGGUUAGAAAGUUGAUUUUAACCCAUGAGAUAGCAUCUGCCUCUGAACUCAAGGAUAUUGAGAAAGAAAUCAGAAAAAAAGUAGAUGAAGCGAUUGCACAAUUCAAGGAAAGCCCUAUGCCUGAUCCAUCUGAGCUCUUUGCUGAUGUAUAUGUAAAGGGUUAUGGCGUGGAGAUGCAAGCAUGCCCAGGACUCAAACUAUCAAAGUCAAUUAAAUGAUGAAAUAGCUGAGGCUUGCAUAUUGGAAUGCUUGCAUAGAUUAUUCCGCGUGCACCCAGUGCUUUCUGUAGCAACUGGUGUCCUUGCUUUAGUACAGACAAUGGAACAGAUUAAUGAACAGCCCCUCUGUGGAAAAAUAUAUUACAGGUAGAAAAAUUGUCUUUUCAGAUAAACAUGGGGUGCAUGCUCACGCACCAAGGCCCAGCUUAGACAAAUCCAAGACUAUGACCAGCAUUGGCUGGCCGAUCUCUGUACGUUGGACAUGCAUGGGCGGUAUCCCAGGUUUACUGACAGAAAAGCCUGAAGACUCAACUUUCAAAGAGGAUGGAUUUGCUAACAAGGUAAUUACGUGUAAUUAACAAGAACUGAUCCAUGAUUAUUGUGAAUUGUUGUAAGAAUUAUGACAUUCUAAUGAUUAAGAAAAAAAUGGAGGA
Non-coding RNA from Elaeis guineensis (African oil palm), 2047 nucleotides. The record is from RefSeq and is a predicted model, not a curated record. Lineage: Eukaryota; Viridiplantae; Streptophyta; Magnoliopsida; Arecales; Arecaceae.